GUUUUAUGUAUUUAUAUUACAUACCUUUAGAUUUUAUUUUUUAUUAUAUAAUUUUAUAGUUUAUUUUUUAUAUUUUAUAAUUAUAUAAUUUAAAUUUCAUUUUGGAGUUUUUUUGGGGGGGGGAUUAUCAUUAUAUUUAUUGCAAGCAUUUACUAAAUCAAUCUAAAACAAGAAUAAAUAUGGCACCACUGGCCUCCAUCAGAGGUUUUUUCCCCUCGGGUGUGUGGAAUUUUUACAUUUUUUUGGUUUUUUAACAUAUUUUGGUAUCUGUAUUGCAAUGUAAUCUUUGUCUUGUAAUCAUUAAGGUUCACUAGAUUGCCUGGUCUAAAUGAAGGACUUGCUCAUUGUGGAAAGUAAAACAUAGUUGAUAUCAUAGAAAGUGCUGAGAUUUGGUGUCAAAGAUUCUGAGUUCAAAUUUUGUUUCUGCCAUUUACUACCUAUGUGACCUUGGAAAAAUCUCUCCUUAUUUCUCACUCUCAGUUUUUUUUUUCCCUCUGUAAAAUGAAGAGGUUGUAUAAGGAAAUCUCAAAAGUCCUUCAGGAUGUAGAAUCUAUACUUCUGCAUGGAAAAGGUCUACUACAACUUGCUGAGUGACCUUGAGCAAGUCAUUUCUCCUCUCCAGGCCUCAGUUUCCUCAUC
Molecule: long non-coding RNA, 639 nt
Filed under: Monodelphis domestica (gray short-tailed opossum)
Lineage: Eukaryota; Metazoa; Chordata; Mammalia; Didelphimorphia; Didelphidae
Description: lncRNA (ENSMODG00000036698.1)
Source: RNAcentral